GACGAACGCUGGCGGCGUGCUUAACACAUGCAAGUCGAACGGAAAGGCCCUGCUUGCAGGCUCCUCGAGUGGCGAACGGGUGGGUAACACGUGGGUGAUCUGCCCUGCACUUCUUGAUAAGCCUGGGCGACUGGGUCUAAUACCUGAUAGGAGCCAUGUUUUGUGUGAUGGUUGGAAAGUUUUUUCGGUGUAGGAUGAGCUGGCGGCCUAUCAGCUUGUUGGUGGGGUAAUGGGCUACCAAGGCGGCGACGGGUAGCCGGCCUGAGAGGGUGGACGGCGAUAUUGGGACUGAGAUACGGCCCAGAUUCCUAAGGGAGGAAGCAGUGGGGAAUAUUGCACCAUGGGCGCAAGCCUGAUGCAGCGACGCCGCGUGGGGGAUGACGGUCUUCGGGUUGUAAACUACUUUCGCUAGGGACGACGCUUUUUGUGACGGUACCUAGAUAAGAAGCACCGGCUAACUACGUG
This 465-nucleotide ribosomal RNA is filed under the name uncultured bacterium. RNAcentral describes it as "partial 16S ribosomal RNA". It matches the Rfam family "Bacterial small subunit ribosomal RNA", at positions 28 to 507 of the family's 1533-position model. The record is from RNAcentral.